GGCUUCAUAGUUCAGUUGGCUAGAACGUUUGCUAAACUAAUACCUUCUCAUUUCUGUCAUUGGUUCAAAUCUCAUUGAGGCCG
RNAcentral lists this transfer RNA (83 nucleotides) under Schistocephalus solidus. It matches the Rfam family "tRNA". From Rfam's summary of the family: Transfer RNA (tRNA) molecules are approximately 80 nucleotides in length. Lineage: Eukaryota; Metazoa; Platyhelminthes; Cestoda; Diphyllobothriidea; Diphyllobothriidae. The record is from Rfam by way of RNAcentral.